UACGUAGGGUGCGAGCGUUAAUCGGAAUUACUGGGCGUAAAGUGUGCGCAGGCGGCGCCGCAAGUCGAGUGUGAAAGCCCCGGGCUUAAUUUGGGAAUUGCGCUCGAAACUAUGGUGCUGGAGUGUGGCAGAGGAAGGUGGAAUUCCACGUGUAGCGGUGAAAUGCGUAGAGAUGUGGAGGAACACCGAUGGCGAAGGCAGCCUUCUGGGCCAACACUGACGCUCAUGCACGAAAGCGUGGGGAGCAAACAGG
This 253-nucleotide ribosomal RNA is filed under the name uncultured bacterium. RNAcentral describes it as "partial 16S ribosomal RNA". It matches the Rfam family "Bacterial small subunit ribosomal RNA", at positions 524 to 776 of the family's 1533-position model. The record is from RNAcentral.